Molecule: ribosomal RNA, 253 nt
Filed under: uncultured bacterium
Lineage: Bacteria
Description: partial 16S ribosomal RNA
Rfam family: Bacterial small subunit ribosomal RNA
Source: RNAcentral
UACGUAGGGGGCUAGCGUUGUCCGGAAUCAUUGGGCGUAAAGAGCGUGUAGGCGGCUCGGUAAGUCCGCUGUAAAAGUCAAAGGCUCAACCUUUGAAUGUCAGUGGAUACUGCCGGGCUAGAGUCCGGAAGAGGCGAGUGGAACUCCUGGUGUAGCGGUGGAAUGCGCAGAUAUCAGGAAGAACACCAACGGCGAAGGCAGCUCGCUAGGACGGUACUGACGCUGAGACGCGAAAGCGUGGGGAGCGAACAGG